UACGUAGGAUCCAAGCGUUAUCCGGAAUUACUGGGCGUAAAGCGUACGUAGGUGGAGAUUUAAGUGAGAUGCGAAAUCUGGCGGCUCAACCGUCUAGACUGUGUCUCAUACUGGGUUUCUUGAGGUUGGCAGAGGCAAGUGGAAUUUCCGGUGUAGCAGUGAAAUGCGUAGAGAUCGGAAGGAACACCAAUGGCGAAGGCAGCUUGCUGGGCCACACCUGACACUGAUGUACGAAAGCGUGGGGAGCGAACAGG
RNAcentral lists this ribosomal RNA (254 nucleotides) under uncultured bacterium. RNAcentral's name for it is "partial 16S ribosomal RNA". It matches the Rfam family "Bacterial small subunit ribosomal RNA", at positions 524 to 776 of the family's 1533-position model. The record is from RNAcentral.